RNAcentral lists this ribosomal RNA (533 nucleotides) under uncultured bacterium. RNAcentral describes it as "bacterial SSU rRNA". It matches the Rfam family "Bacterial small subunit ribosomal RNA", at positions 979 to 1509 of the family's 1533-position model. The record is from RNAcentral.
CCUUGACAUACUAAGAACUUUCCAGAGAUGGAUUGGGUGCCUUCGGGAACUUAGAUACAGGUGCUGCAUGGCUGUCGUCAGCUCGUGUCGUGAGAUGUUGGGUUAAGUCCCGCAACGAGCGCAACCCUUUUUCCUUAUUUGCCAGCGGGUCAUGCCGGGAACUUUAAGGAUACUGCCAGUGACAAACUGGAGGAAGGCGGGGACGACGUCAAGUCAUCAUGGCCCUUACGGCCAGGGCUACACACGUGCUACAAUGGUCGGUACAAAGGGUUGCUACCUCGCGAGAGGAUGCUAAUCUCAAAAAGCCGAUCGUAGUCCGGAUCGCAGUCUGCAACUCGACUGCGUGAAGUCGGAAUCGCUAGUAAUCGCGGAUCAGAAUGCCGCGGUGAAUACGUUCCCGGGCCUUGUACACACCGCCCGUCACACCAUGGGAGUUUGUUGCACCAGAAGUAGGUAGUCUAACCGCAAGGAGGACGCUUACCACGGUGUGGCCGAUGACUGGGGUGAAGUCGUAACAAGGUAAGCGUAGAUGA